RNAcentral lists this ribosomal RNA (318 nucleotides) under Triticum aestivum (bread wheat). RNAcentral's name for it is "partial small subunit ribosomal RNA". The record is from RNAcentral. Lineage: Eukaryota; Viridiplantae; Streptophyta; Magnoliopsida; Poales; Poaceae.
AUGCGCUUCUAUUUUCCAGGCGUGAUUCUAUUUUUCCAAGCUGUUGGUGUGGAGGCGCUUGUGUUUUCUAAUUUUGCCUGCUACAUAUUGUUUCGUGUUGGGCUGCAGAGUUUAGGAGCAGUAGUGAAGUUUUCCAGGCCCGCCCAAUUGUUUGGACAACAGAAAACGAAGCUCAGUUGUCAACCCGAAACAAGCAACGAGCCCAGAAAAACGACAAACAACAACAACAACCGCGGGGAGGAGUACGCUCGCUAUAUCAGAAUGAUGACGUCAGUUUAUAGAUGUGCAAUACUUAGGGCACAUCUAGAUGUGCCCUAG